Molecule: ribosomal RNA, 462 nt
Filed under: uncultured bacterium
Lineage: Bacteria
Description: bacterial SSU rRNA
Rfam family: Bacterial small subunit ribosomal RNA
Source: RNAcentral
UUGAACGCUGGCGGCAUGGCUAAAACAUGCAAGUCGAGCGCGAAAGUGGAGCAAUCCAUGAGUAGAGCGGCGAAAGGGUGAGUAAUAGGUUUCUACGUGCCUCAAGGUCGAGGAUAGCCAGGGGAAACUCUGGGUAAUACUCGAUGUGAUCGAGAGAUCAAAGGCUUGCCGCCUUGAGAGCGGGGAACCUCCUAUCAGCUAGUUGGUGAGGUAACGGCUCACCAAGGCUUUGACGGGUAGCGGGUGUGAGAGCAUGGCCCGCCACAUCGAAACUGAGACACUGUUCGGACUCCUACGGGAGGCUGCAGUAACGAAUCUUCCGCAAUGCGCGAAAGCGUGACGGAGCAAUGCCGCGUGCAGGAUGAAGCCCCUCGGGGUGUAAACUGCUGUCAGGGAUUAGGAAGCAACUGACCAAUCCCAAAGGAAGAGACGACUAACUCUGUGCCAGCCGCCGCGGUAAUU